AGAGUUUGAUCAUGGCUCAGGAUGAACGCUAGCUACAGGCUUAACACAUGCAAGUCGAGGGGAAACGACAUCGAAAGCUUGCUUUUGAUGGGCGUCGACCGGCGCACGGGUGAGUAACGCGUAUCCAACCUGCCCACCACUUGGGGAUAACCUUGCGAAAGUAAGACUAAUACCCAAUGACGUCUCUAGAAGACAUCUGAAGGAGAUUAAAGAUUUAUCGGUGAUGGAUGGGGAUGCGUCUGAUUAGCUUGUUGGCGGGGUAACGGCCACAAGGCGACGAUCAGUAGGGGUUCUGAGAGGAGGUCCCCCANAUUGGAACUGAGACACGGUCCAACUCCGUACGGGAGCA
This 349-nucleotide ribosomal RNA is filed under the name uncultured bacterium. RNAcentral's name for it is "bacterial SSU rRNA". It matches the Rfam family "Bacterial small subunit ribosomal RNA", at positions 8 to 350 of the family's 1533-position model. The record is from RNAcentral.